This 420-nucleotide ribosomal RNA is filed under the name uncultured bacterium. Its description in RNAcentral is "bacterial SSU rRNA". It matches the Rfam family "Bacterial small subunit ribosomal RNA", at positions 356 to 773 of the family's 1533-position model. The record is from RNAcentral.
GAGGAAUAUUGGACAAUGGGCGCAAGCCUGAUCCAGCCAUGCCGCGUGCAGGAUGACGGUCCUAUGGAUUGUAAACUGCUUUUGCACAGGAAGAAACAUCCCGACGUGUCGGGACUUGACGGUACUGUGAGAAUAAGGAUCGGCUAACUCCGUGCCAGCAGCCGCGGUAAUACGGAGGAUCCAAGCGUUAUCCGGAAUCAUUGGGUUUAAAGGGUCCGUAGGCGGUCUUAUAAGUCAGUGGUGAAAUCUCCCCGCUCAACGGGGAAACGGCCAUUGAUACUGUAGGACUUGAAUUAUAAGGAAGUAACUAGAAUAUGUAGUGUAGCGGUGAAAUGCUUAGAGAUUACAUGGAAUACCAAUUGCGAAGGCAGGUUACUACUUAUGGAUUGACGCUGAUGGACGAAAGCGUGGGUAGCGAAC